This 493-nucleotide ribosomal RNA is filed under the name uncultured bacterium. RNAcentral's name for it is "bacterial SSU rRNA". It matches the Rfam family "Bacterial small subunit ribosomal RNA", at positions 28 to 507 of the family's 1533-position model. The record is from RNAcentral.
GAUGAACGCUAGCGGCAGGCCUAACACAUGCAAGUCGAGGGGCAUCAUGGCGUAGCAAUACGCUGAUGGCGACCGGCGCACGGGUGCGUAACGCGUAUGGAACCUACCCACCGCAGGGGGAUAACCCGCCGAAAAGCGGACUAAUACCCCAUGGUUCCCCGACCCUGCCUGGGGUUGGGGGUAAAGCCUACGGGCGGCGGUGGAUGGCCCUGCGUGCCAUUAGCUGGCUGGUGGGGUAACGGCCCACCAGGGCGACGAUCAGUAGCCGACCUGAGAGGGUAAUCGGCCACAUUGGAACUGAGACACGGUCCAAACUCCUACGGGAGGCAGCAGUGGGGAAUAUUGCACAAUGGGCGCAAGCCUGAUCCAGCAAUGCCGCGUGCAGGAUGAAGGCCUUCGGGUUGUAAACUGCUUUUGUACGGAACGAAACGGUCUGCCCUAAUACGGUGGGCUAAUGACGGUACCGUAAGAAUAAGCACCGGCUAACUACGUG